UCGUGCAUGCAGCCACCGCCGCAUGCAGCACCCUCUCAUCCUUCGCAUGCGACCGAACCCUUCUCUCUUUCAUUCUCUUCUCUCUUCUUCUUUCUACUCCGGUCGCGGCACCACUCGCUCACGGUUUCUUCUUCUUCGGCAGGAUCACCAAUGGCAAUCCCUCCCUCCCUCGGGCUUGCGAUGGCCGUCGCGAGAUACCCUCUCCGGUGGAGAUCGCGCAAGGGCGAUCUCCACUUCUCUUCCCCCAUGCCGGCACUAGCCGCCUAAAUGAAGGAAAACAUUAAUCAGGUUUCCCUUAAAAGCUCUUCCUUCUGGCCGUUAGAUCUCCACGGUGAGAUCUGGGACGUUCGAUUAAGGCAGGGGCAAUUUCGUCUUUUUACCCCUCAUAUCAUGGCCACACAAUUUAGGAUUUUAUUAAGGGCAAAAGGGUCUUUUUGCGCCUUUAAGAUCUCACACGAUUUGGCGUUCGUUUGAAUUUCAAGUAAGAAUAGAUCUAGGCGGUCUGAUCGAAUUGGGCGGGAAAUAAUAUGAGCUGUUGGAUCGUGAUCUACAUAAAAGCGAAUCCUCGCCGCACGAUUGUGAUACACGCGGACCGUUGGAUCGCGAUCCGCGUGAGGUGGUUCCCUAGCCAUCGGAUCGGCUCGCCCAGACGUGAUAAUGGUCGUUUAUCAGAAACACAAAGAGAAGGAUUCGUGGCCACAGGAUCAAAUACUCCUCUGUACAUGCAGAUCGUUGGAUCUACAUCACGCAGAUCGCCACAAGGGCAGCCAUGGGUGCGUAGGCUUGCCCUCGUGUCCGCCGCACGACAUUAGGCUGUUGGCCGCGUUACCACAUCACCUGCUGAUGUGGCCGAACUUCCUAAAAUUGCAAAAAGCACCAGUUUUCUGUAUUUUUGUUCAAUUAGGUCAUCGGAUCCUGUUUUGGGCCCAAACAACUUCCAAUAUUUCCGAUAAUUCGCACAUAGGUUCCUAAAUUCUUAUUUAAUCUAAUUUUUGGCUUAAAUAUUAUUUGUAAUUAUCCUGAUAUUUAUUUUAAUUAUUUAUUUUUAUAUUUACUUAAUUUAAUGUCCCUUAAUCUGUUUUAAAUUAAUUGUAUAAUGUUCUCUCUUAUUUAAUAUAUUAAUUUUCAGUUUCUCCUA
RNAcentral lists this long non-coding RNA (1138 nucleotides) under Carica papaya (papaya). RNAcentral's name for it is "long non-coding RNA (CPAP_LNC013587)". The record is from RNAcentral. Lineage: Eukaryota; Viridiplantae; Streptophyta; Magnoliopsida; Brassicales; Caricaceae.